GCAGGCCAAGGGGAAAGCCCUUUUCUAUUUCCAGCAGGACACACCUGGCAAUGGAUGUGACAUUCAGCACUGCCCAGGUUUCUUCCACUUGGAGGAGGCAAAGUGGUGAAUGGAAGAAGGCAAUCCUCUGGCAGUGGGAUGCUAGGGAGAGAUAAUAAGGCAAGUUUGCUUGCUUGAAGGCUGCUGGUAUCAGUGGUUGGAAGCUGGCUGAUGUCUCAUGAUGGACCUAACAGUAGCUUCUGGCACAAUGGGACACUUUGACGGAAACCAGACGCAUAGAAAUGCCGUUUGUGCGGAUUCGAACUGCCGGCCUUCUGAUUGGCAAGCCCAGGAGGCUCUGUGGUUUAGACCAGCAUUGUCGAUCGGGAUCGACUUGUAGAUCAUGUGAUUGUUUCUUGUAGAUCUCUCUCUCUCUCUCUCUCUCUCUCUCUCUCUCUCUGAAGGAGAAGCAAGUGGGCACUAGGCAGGCGGAGGUGUACUCAGAGAGGCUGGGCCAGAAAGAGAAGCCCUGUACGCUGGCCCCUCGAGAGAAAGAGCUGGUGUGGGUCCAGAGAGAGAGAGAGAAAGAGAGAGAUCUGCUAAAAGAAAGGACACAGUAGCAAUGGCUGAGCGACCCAGCAUGGACAAUAGUAGAGGGGUAAUAACCUCACUCCUCAAAUCCUUAUAAAGAGUGCAGCCAGAAGCACAUGAGCCACUGACUCCCCAUACUGCCAUCUCCACAUGGACAUAACCUUUUUUCCAGUGGAAUUUUUUGAAAUCGACCCUCAAGUACAGGUGAAGGCAGUAUAUUCAAUCUUGCGAAAGUGAAAGCGCGUCUGUAUUUUGGAAUUGUUAAUUUUUGCCAACAGGGAGCCAAAGUGUCAAACUGACUGGGUGGGAAAUCAUCAUACCAUGGACAAAAUUUCCUUAUCGUGGCCAAAUUAUUCUGUCGCUCAAUAUCAUAUGGGCACUGUCUAAUUAUAACAGUGUUAAUAACUGUUGUGGUGAUAAACCAGAAAAGUAAAGCUUUUGGUUUACAAUUUUGGUCCAAGCGUUCUCAUGACAAUCUUGCGAUACUAAGGGUAGUAGACCAGUGGGGUUUAAAUUUAGAUGAAGGCGAUAAUUCAAUGUCCCACACUAAAUCUGCCAUUCAACAGUGGGGAGAUUAGCCUCCAAGCGCAAUGAAGCAUUUGGAACACAGGAUGCAGCAGAAAAAAAUUGCCUUCCGACAAAUUUGCCUACCGGUAGGACGGAGGUUAACAUGGAUAUUUUUUUUGGGGGGGGGGGGGUUAAGGACCAGAAUGUAUCACCUAAAGCAGGAUCCUUCCAUCCCUCCAGACCGGUUGCUGGAAAAUCUCACUGGCUGCUGAAUUAUGCAAAAACAACUGCAACCAUGCGUGCAAGUGUCCCUGUGAAAUGUUUUAAAGUAUGUGACUGGCUUACAAGCAAGAUGAUUAAUUCCUUAAUACAAAUCUGAGUGUAAAAAUAGAUGAAGGUAGCAGUACCUCAUGACGGCUGUACGUGUUAGGGAAUAAUCCCUUUUAUUUCACAAAUAGGGGCAGAUGACUUAACUGGAUGCCCUGAAUUGUGUGUUUUGAUUUUGAGUGCAUCUAUCAGAGUCACGAGGCUUUCAUAUCAUUCUCUAAUCACCUGCUUUCAUUAGUAAUGUGGGGAAACAAUCAGGGAUCCUUACUUAAAUGCAGACUAAUUUAGCUCUGCUUUUGAAAAAAAAUGAAACGAAAUUCAUAGUUUUGCUUAAUGUUUCCCCCUGGUUAUUAUAUUUAUUUCCAGUUUAUGUCAUCCUGUUAAGUGGACUAACCCCUCUUCACCUUUCACCUCUGUGGACCCUGCUAAGAUGAAGGUCAUUUCCAGAUUCUUCAAGUACCUUCAAGUUCUUCAUCAUCCUUGGCUUUUUUCCCAGGCUGAAGAAGAACAGAAUACAAAACAGCUGCUCCACCACACUGGCUGUUUAAUAAAACACACAGAAAGGCUUCACUUUGCUCACUCUUCAUUGUGUUUCCUCUAUAGUUAGGCAGCUCUCCAAUCAAUAAGAGUAAUUAAAAUCAUCCAUUAUCAAGAACAUGGCCAUUUCGCGGAGCACCUUUAUCUCGGAGCACUUUUCUUCUUCUGCUACCUCAAAUUGCUUUGCGGUCUUACAGAUCUAAUGAGAGUCAUCUUAUUGCGGCUUCUUUCUACAAGUCAUUAGUACCCAUUCAUUCAUACUUUGCCUUCCAUAUAUUAGCCCAAAUCAUUUGGCAAACAUCAAGGCUCCCUUCUAUCUUUCCAGUAUCGAUGGGAUGAUAAGGUCUGCUCUGCCGUGAAAAUAAUAACAUAUUUUUCCGUCUAUAAGACGCUCCCAUGUAUAAGAUGCCCCCUAAUUUUUUGGACUCAAAUUUAAGAAAAUGGGGGGAGACGGCCCUGUGUAUAAGAUGCCCCCUAAUUUUUGACAUUAUUUUUAAGGAAAAAAACCUAGUCUUAUACGAUAUUAUUAUUAUUAUUAUUAUUAAUGGGCGGUAUUAUUGGGUUGUGGGGGGUAUUAUUGGGUUGUUGUUUUUAUUUUGAUUAUAUAUAUUGUAGUUUUUAUGUUGAGCUUUUCUGUGAACCGCCGUGAGACCUUCAGGUAUAGGACAGUAUAUAAAUUUAAUAAACAUUAUUAUUAUUAAAUAUUUUUAUCCUUCUUCUCAGAAGCAGUGCCUAAUAAUAAUAAUAAUAAUCAUAAUAAUAAUUUAUUUUUUUUCCCCACCGCUGCCACCCAUCUGGCUGGGUUUCCCCAGCCACUCUGGGCAGCUACCAACAAAGUAUGAAAAUACAGUAGUCUGUUAAACAUUAAAAGCUUCCCUAAAGAGGGCUGCCUUGACCAGCUGGGACUGGAAAAACUGAAAGAAGGGACCCCAAAUGUUGCUGGCCAUUUAGAAGAUCAUAAGGAGAGUCCCCGAAAUAAUAAUAAUAAUAAUAAUAAUAAUAAUAAUAAUAAUAAUGGUAAUUUAAAAAAAUAUUAUUUAUUUAUACUCCACCCAUCUGGCUGGGUUUCCCCAGCCACUCUGAGUGGCCUCCAGCAAAAUAUUAAAAUAUAAUAAUUCAUCAAAUAUUAAAAGCUUCCCUAAACAGGGCUGCCUUCUUCCUUGUUCCCCCCAUCCUAUAGCCUUGGAAUGUUCUUGUCAUGUGCUGCAAUACAUUCAUCGUUUCCAAACCAGGGUGGGUGAAGGGAAACUGUGUUUCUAACCAUUCCCCAUUUCUUCAUUCUUCUCCUUCCCUAAUUUCGGUGUAAAAUUGCUGUUGAGUAAAUGUCUACGCAAUUGCUGUCAUCAUCUGCAGCUGAAGUGUCGUCAAGAGAUGUGCCAUCAUUGAAUCUGGCUACUAAUCCAUCUCUAUCUGUCAUCCUCUGUUCCUAUUAUGGGUUUUUAAAAUAGGCUCAAUUUCUGAUUAAAAAGUGAUCUGUCUAGUAAGGCAGACAUGCUGAUUUUUAGCACUAAGCUCAGUACAGAAGAGAUAAAAGUAUCUUUGCUAAAUGGAAUGACAGGAUCUUAGUAAUCAUUAACAUGCAUGAAUUAUACAGUCACUGCUAAACCUUUGGAAAUCAACAAAUACGUUUAACACAGCUCAUGGGGACAAAAAGAAAAACUAAGAAAUUAAAUCAAAAUAGUUCUUGUACCUUUGCUCUCUUUCUUCUUUUAUUAUAAGAUUUUUCAUCUUUCUUUUCCCACCCUCUCUCAUGCCUCCUUGCACAUAAAUUUUUCUUUCAAUAUAUAUUUGAAAGACUCUAAUCCAAAGGUUUCGUAUGAAUAAAGCUACCGUUGCAAGCUUCACCUGAAGCAGGAUAACAUUCUAAAGCAGUCUCCUCUUUAAUCUCCAUUCAGAUUGCCUCUAGCAAAGUUCUAUAAGAGAAUCCAAAAGGCAAGGAAGGUAUGCUAUUUUAUUUCAAUGGUGAAAUAGAGUAUUUUGCUAUAGCUAUUCCAUGGAAUGCAAAAGAAAGAGAGCGAGAGAAGAUGGCGUUUCACACAUACACAAAUUCUUAAAACAGUUCAUGAUCACAUCACUUCCUCUGAUAAGAACAGCAACACUGAGGUCAAUAAACUUAAUUUCAGAAGGUUUGUGAAUGCGUGCAUUUAGCUUGAUUGCUUUUUUUUUUUUAGUUUUAAGGUUUAGUUUAGGUUGCUGAAGGUACGCUUGAUGUGACUUGAUGCGUAUUUAAACUAUAAAAUUCAGAAUGGACUGAGCAUUUGGUUGCAAAGAAAGAUACAGUUCUUUCAACCUCAACUGCACUUGACAGCAGUAGCAGUAGCAGUAGCUCCAGCAAGUAAUUGCAUGUCUUUUGGGGCAAGGCAAGAAUGAUAAAGCAUGUUCUCCCUGAAAUGAGAGCACGUUUUGCGGUGGGGUCUGCCAAGCCAACCCUCUGUUGCCAGGCAGGUAAAAGUGAGCUGGCCUGGGGCAACGAUUGGAUGGCCGGGUUGCUGGGGCAAAUUGCAUGUUGCAAUGUGGUGGGUGGGACCAAAGGCUUUAAAUAUUGGGGCACAUCUUUUGCUUUCUCUUUCGCUGAGUGCAUUGGAUCACCCUCCUGCCCACCCUGAGUUCCGGUUGACCUUGCUAUGCCUGUCAUGGGGUCGACUACCUUGGGGCAGGGGCCUAGUAGGAAUUUUGUCCAUUUGGCUGAUUGGCUGGUGCCAUUUGGUUUUUGCCUACUACUUAGCAAUUCUUCACAACUUGUAAGGUUGCGGUUAGGCAUUGGUUAUAAAAAAUUGGUUGGAGGAGGGGUAAGGAUAGGUGGUGUGGAAGGGAAUUCUAUUAAAGGAAUCCAGGGGCUUGCCACGAUUUUGUCCAAUCCCUGAAAUGGGACCAGGGCCGGCAAGCUCUGGGAAGCAGGUUGGGUGAGCGGUGAGGGACUGUGACUCAGCUCCAUUGCUCCCCAAUAUUGUUUUCCCUUCACUGGCUUCCGAGGGAGUUCGGAAGUCAGUUCUGUCCCAGGCAGGGGGACAGAUAGUCUUAACCAAUGCCUAAGCAACCACUCACAGAUUAUGUAUUUUAAUAAAGUUGUGGCCAAAAUUAUGCCAAAAACCUUAAACAAAAAUUAUGUGUGAAUUGUGAAUUAUUUUGAGGGGUGGCUUGGGGACCUUGACACGCAAUGCCACUUUUGCAUGGUAAAUGGAGAAACAAGCAGGUGGACAGCAGUGACUGGCCUACAUUUUGGGGGUUCUGCAGUUUAGACUGUCAUGUUAGCCCUUCAUAACAGCAAUGAAGUCUCAGUAACUACUGCUAUCUUCUUCUAUGGGAUUAUUGCACGACAGAUCACCACACCUUUACAACAUUUGUGCUGCUGACUAUCAAACUUUGUGAUUGUAGAAAUAUGCACCCCAAAACUUGAGUGAAACCACACAAAUGGGGUCUACCGCUCAAAUUUUUGAAGAAAUGUGGACUAAAAUUGCUUCUAGGGCCCCUUUGGGAUUAGGUGCCCUGAAGCUGAAUCUUCCUUAGUGUCAUUGUCAAUCCGGUUGCAGAUAUUAAUAUUCUGCUCUUUGAAACAAUUGGAAGCAUAAGAACUGACUCUUUUUGGAAAGGAAUCAUUGUCCAGGUCCAUAAAAACAUGAUUCAAACUUUUACUGACAGAACUCUUCAAAACAAAACAUAAGCAUCAAAGAUACAACUAAAAAUAUCCAUACUAUAUCUUGUGCUGUCCAGCACAGGCUCAGCAUCUUAGAAAAUAUGAAUUAAUCUAAACAGACCUAGAAACAGAGGUUUCUCUCUCUCUCUCUCUCUCUCUCUCUCUCUCUCUCUCUCUCCACAGCCUGCACUCCAGCUUCCAGGCUGUUUACUCUCCCUUCAGGAGAGCUUCUUUUACAUCCUGUCUCCAUGAAGCUUGGUGAGACAAAGACUAAAGGCAACUCCCUUCAAAAUGGAAAUUUGCAACUCAAUACCUUCAUCACAUGAUCUACGGCUACAACACUCACAUUUUAGUUACCAGAGAACAACAGUCAGUUAAUCGCUAACCCAUUAAGUAGUUCAGAGUUCCUUAGAAAAUCUACUGUGGAAAACCCCCAGUGUUAUACAUUAUAAGCCUUCAUUAAUACACACACAUUUUUCAUUUCUGUGUGAAUUAAAUCAAUUAUACUUAACAUGGACAGCCUGUC
Molecule: non-coding RNA, 6101 nt
Organism: Podarcis lilfordi (Lilford's wall lizard)
Lineage: Eukaryota; Metazoa; Chordata; Lepidosauria; Squamata; Lacertidae
Source: the annotation of a GenBank genome assembly